Molecule: ribosomal RNA, 465 nt
Filed under: Vreelandella stevensii
Lineage: Bacteria; Pseudomonadati; Pseudomonadota; Gammaproteobacteria; Oceanospirillales; Halomonadaceae
Description: partial 16S ribosomal RNA
Rfam family: Bacterial small subunit ribosomal RNA
Source: RNAcentral
CCUACGGGCGGCAGCAGUGGGGAAUAUUGGACAAUGGGGGCAACCCUGAUCCAGCCAUGCCGCGUGUGUGAAGAAGGCCCUCGGGUUGUAAAGCACUUUCAGUGAGGAAGAACGCCUGGUGGUUAAUACCCAUCAGGAAAGACAUCACUCACAGAAGAAGCACCGGCUAACUCCGUGCCAGCAGCCGCGGUAAUACGGAGGGUGCGAGCGUUAAUCGGAAUUACUGGGCGUAAAGCGCGCGUAGGUGGCUUGAUAAGCCGGUUGUGAAAGCCCCGGGCUCAACCUGGGAACGGCAUCCGGAACUGUCAAGCUAGAGUGCAGGCGAGGAAGGUAGAAUUCCCGGUGUAGCGGUGAAAUGCGUAGAGAUCGGGAGGAAUACCAGUGGCGAAGGCGGCCUUCUGGACUGACACUGACACUGAGGUGCGAAAGCGUGGGUAGCAAACAGGAUUAGAUACCCCUGUAGUC